This 522-nucleotide long non-coding RNA is filed under the name Gallus gallus (chicken). RNAcentral's name for it is "lncRNA (ENSGALG00010000328.1)". Lineage: Eukaryota; Metazoa; Chordata; Aves; Galliformes; Phasianidae. The record is from RNAcentral.
GCAAAGCAGAGAGGAGUGCAGAGGCAGAAGAAAGAGGAGAGAGGAUACAGAAAAGAAAGAGCAGUAGAAGAGGAGUGCAGAUGCAGAAUAAAGAGCAUUGAGGAGACAGAACAUGAAGAGCAACAGAGGAGUUUAGACGCAGAAUGAUGAGGAGUGAAUAAGGAGGGGAAAAAGGGAGAGAAGAGUAUGGGAAAAAAAGUCUAGUAGAGGAGAGGAAGACAGCAGACAGGAGAAGUUAGAAAAGAUAGAAGAGAGAAGGGAGGGAGGGGGCAUCAAGGAAAGGUUUCCAAAGGUAAAAAAAAAAAAAAAAAAAAAAAAGAGAGAUGAAGAAGAUGGGAGUUCAACAGAAGAACUGAAGAUGUAAGAAGUGGGGAGGCGUGUGCAGAGAGCAGGAGAGCAGAGAGAGAAGGUGAGAGCAAAUUCCGUCACUGAGAGAAGAAGAAAAAGGAACGUCAAUAAUUUUCGUCUCUAUUAAAGCUGGGUUCUGUGCAGGACAUACAGGUGUUGUUGUUCUUUUUCUUU